CCUACGGGAGGCAGCAGUGGGGAAUAUUGGGCAAUGGGCGAAAGCCUGACCCAGCAACGCCGCGUGAGGGAAGAAGGCUUUCGGGAUGUAAAGCUCUAUUAGCAGGGAAGAAAGAAGUGACGGUACCGGACGAAUAAGCGACGGCUAACUACGGGCCAGCAGCCGCGGUAAGACGUAGGGGGCAAGCGUUAGCCGGAUUUACUGGGUGUAAAGGGCGGGUAGGCGGGGAUGCAAGGCAGAUGUGAAACCCCUGGGCUCAACCGGUGGCCUGCUUUUGAAACUGUAUGGCUUGAGUGCAGGAGAGGUAAGUGGAAUUCCUAGUGUAGCGGUUAAAUGCGUAGAUAUUAGGAGGAACACCAGUGGCGAAGGCGGUUUACUGGACUGUAACUGACGUUGAGGCUCGAAAGCGUGGGGAGCAAACAGGAUUAGAUACCCUUGUAGUC
This 443-nucleotide ribosomal RNA is filed under the name uncultured bacterium. RNAcentral describes it as "partial 16S ribosomal RNA". It matches the Rfam family "Bacterial small subunit ribosomal RNA", at positions 338 to 795 of the family's 1533-position model. The record is from RNAcentral.